UAAUUUAUUUAACUGAAUCCGAGAAUCAAUGAGACCAAAAACCGAUAGAAAUGCCGCUCAACCCUGAAAAGCUGCGGAAAUACCUAGCACCAAAUCCCUAAAAUCAUUUUCUUUGAAGAAAAAAAAAAAGAACUUUUUUUGUGCCAAGAAAAGUAACUUUUAUACAUUUGUGUUAUCACUCUUAAAAAUAUCGGCCCCGCCAUAGUUGUAAGGAUCUGAAGCUGACUCAUUAAUGGCUACCGCCACUUCCAUCGUACGGUCUCCAGCGGCCCUACUCUUUGCCAAAGUCACUGUCUCCGAUCACAAACCAACCCCAACCAUUCAAAUCUCCCGAUUCCCUUCAAAACGUAGUUGUUUCACUGCUCUUUUGUCUUCCCUCCACGACAACAACGACGACGACGACAACAACAACAACAACAACGUCAUCUCGCAUCCCAAGCCUCUUUCUUCAUCCCAGCUCUUUAAUUCCGUGUCUAAUGGCUCUCGCCUUCGCGUUGCAUAUCAGGGAGUUCGUGGUGCCUACAGUGAAGCUGCUGCUGAGAAGGCCUAUCCCAAUUGUGAAACUGUUCCUUGUGACCAAUUUGAUUCUGCUUUUCAAGCUGUUGAAAAGUGGUUAGUGGAUAGAGCAGUAUUACCGAUUGAGAAUUCUUUAGGUGGUAGUAUACAUAGGAAUUAUGACCUCUUGCUUCGCCAUAGCUUGCAUAUUGUUGGGGAAGUUAAGCUUGCUGUUCAACAUUGCUUAGUAGCCAAUCAUGGUGUUCAACUUGAGGAUUUAAGUAGGGUUCUUAGUCAUCCUCAGGCUCUAGCUCAGUGCGAGAACACGUUAACAAAGAUAGGCUUGAGCAGAGAAGCAGUUGAUGAUACUGCCCUUGCAGCAAAGCAUGUGGCUCUCCACAAACUAAAAGAUACUGGAGCUGUUGCAAGUUCUUCGGCUGCAAAGAUAUAUGGAUUGAACAUCCUUGCUCAAAAUAUUCAGGAUGAUUGUGAUAAUGUUACUCGAUUUCUAAUUCUGGCCAGGGAACCAAUUAUUCCUGGCAUCCAGAAUCCAUUCAAGACAAGUAUAGUUUUUUCGUUAGAGGAGGGUCCUGGUGUGCUUUUCAAGGCACUUGCUGUUUUUGCGCUUCGGCAGAUCAACCUGACAAAGAUUGAAAGUCGCCCAUUGAGGAACCAGCCUUUGCGAGCAGCUGAUGAUAACAAUGGUUCAAAAUACUUUGAUUACCUCUUCUAUGUGGAUUUUGAAGCAUCGAUGGCUGAAGAGAGAGCACAGAAUGCACUAAGACAUCUAAAGGAGUUUGCUACUUUUUUGCGAGUUCUAGGGAGUUAUCCAGUGGAUACUACCAUGAUGUGAACAAGUUAUUGAUCAUGGACCCAGGUCGCGUUUUUGUGAUAGAGAUAAGGCAUUGGUUUGGCUUUGAAACUGCAGCUGUCGAUAGCCAAGCCAUUGCACUACAGGGGAAUGUUGGCAAUGUAUCACUUUGGCUCUAAGGACAAAUUUAUUUUGUUGAUGUCAAGUCUAAAUAGCAAUCUAGACCCCACCACUGAAUCCCUAUUACGGGAUUUCGAGGAAUGCAUUGAUUUGGUGAACCACCGUCGCACAUGGAAUAGAGGCAGAAUGGUGGUCGAACCAACCAAACACACUGUGUUGGUGGGGUUGACUGAUGGAUGGUGAAGACGGCUAACAAUUAGAUCCCAACAACACAACAUGUCUUGUCUUAUUUUGUAGGUUCUUCCAAGUACAAACGCCACCCUGUACCAUUAUAGACUGCUUGAUGAUAUGUGGGGACUUAUCAGUCCCCCUUUAAUCUUAAAUUUAUUUAAAAAUCUAUAACGAU
This is an RNA transcript of Gossypium arboreum, 1832 nucleotides long. It is a transcript of the gene named arogenate dehydratase/prephenate dehydratase 2, chloroplastic-like, with no coding region annotated. The transcript is spliced from 13 exons. Lineage: Eukaryota; Viridiplantae; Streptophyta; Magnoliopsida; Malvales; Malvaceae. The record is from RefSeq and is a predicted model, not a curated record.